This 229-nucleotide ribosomal RNA is filed under the name uncultured bacterium. RNAcentral's name for it is "partial 16S ribosomal RNA". It matches the Rfam family "Bacterial small subunit ribosomal RNA", at positions 568 to 796 of the family's 1533-position model. The record is from RNAcentral.
UCCGUAGGCGGGCAAUUAAGUCAGAGGUGAAAUCCCACAGCUCAACUGUGGAACUGCCUUUGAUACUGGUUGUCUUGAGUUAUAGUGAAGUAGAUAGAAUAUGUAGUGUAGCGGUGAAAUGCAUAGAUAUUACAUAGAAUACCGAUUGCGAAGGCAGUCUACUAACUGUAUACUGACGCUAAUGGACGAAAGCGUGAGGAGCGAACAGGAUUAGAUACCCUGGUAGUCC